This 852-nucleotide long non-coding RNA is filed under the name Papio anubis (olive baboon). RNAcentral's name for it is "lncRNA (ENSPANG00000046796.1)". The record is from RNAcentral. Lineage: Eukaryota; Metazoa; Chordata; Mammalia; Primates; Cercopithecidae.
AUGAGGCAUGUAAGUGAGGUCAUAAAGGUCUUACAGGAAUGGUGUCCUUUUAAGAAAAGGAAGAUACACCAGAACUGUCUCUUUACAGGCACAGAAGAAAGGUCAUCUGCAACCAAAGGAGACAGACAUCAACAGACUCUGACUGUACUGGCCAUUGAUCUUGCCUUCCAGUGCCCCACACAGAGCAGCAAACCUUGGAAUUACAUCAUCAUGGAAAUAAAACAAAAAGCAAAAGAAGAUGAGCCAUCCUUAAGGGGAUUCUGGAAGGGUCCAUUGGUAAAAUAAUGUUUUCAAUAUCCCAGUGACAUUACCAGCAAUCUCACUCAGUGGAAAAUAAUUGUAGUAUCAAACUUUCUCAAAGAAUGAAAACAUCUCUAAUAUAGUGAACAGGUCAGUUGAUCCACAGAGGGAGCAUAGGAAAAUGGCCCUUCUUUUCUUUUUGUGAGCUUCCCUUUUCCUAAAUGGUAGUUAAUCAAUCACAACACCUACUUGCUUGCCACAGAAAUGGAAAAUUGAUCUCUGCUAACUAAUCACUGAUCCCAUCUCACUGGCCUUGGUGAUUGUCCAGCUUUGCCAUAUAAUCCAGGCGGAGCCAAUCAAGGCACUUUUGGGGGAAAUUAUAUGUAUACCAGGGGAGAAAGGAUCUCCCUUCCUCUGAGAUUGCAAAUACUAAGUGUCACGUAAAGCUACAGCAUUCCAGAGCUAUUUUUACUGUUCAUGGACAGAACCUGGCUAAAAAUAAAUGAUUUCAAUGAAAAACAGAGGAGUGAGAGAUUCUUAAUGACAUUAUUCACAAUUCUGGAUCUAAUUGUGCAUAAAGGUCAUCUAAUUACUUUGAUUUCCAAAUUAAAG